RNAcentral lists this ribosomal RNA (254 nucleotides) under uncultured bacterium. Its description in RNAcentral is "partial 16S ribosomal RNA". It matches the Rfam family "Bacterial small subunit ribosomal RNA", at positions 793 to 1055 of the family's 1533-position model. The record is from RNAcentral.
GUCCACGCCGUAAACGAUGGAUACUAGCUGUUGGGGCAACUUCAGUGGCUAAGCGAAAGUGAUAAGUAUCCCACCUGGGGAGUACGUUCGCAAGAAUGAAACUCAAAGUAAUUGACGGGGGCCCGCACAAGCGGUGGAGCAUGUGGUUUAAUUCGAUGAUACGCGAGGAACCUUACCAAGGCUUAAAUGUAGAUUGACCGGUUUGGAAACAGAUCUUUCGCAAGACAAUUUACAAGGUGCUGCAUGGUUGUCGU